CUCGCGAUAGCUCAGUUGGUAGAGCGGAGGACUGUAGUGGAAAAUUAUCAGGCAUCCUUAGGUCGCUGGUUCAAAUCCGGCUCGCGAGA
This 89-nucleotide transfer RNA is filed under the name Lingula anatina. It matches the Rfam family "tRNA". Rfam says of the family: Transfer RNA (tRNA) molecules are approximately 80 nucleotides in length. Lineage: Eukaryota; Metazoa; Brachiopoda; Lingulata; Lingulida; Lingulidae. The record is from Rfam by way of RNAcentral.